UUCUCUUUGUCGCUAUCAUGAUCAACAACUAUUUAUAUGGUCAUGCGCAGUCUGCGUGUCUCCUGAUACACUAUUUCUAGAAUGGUCUUUUUGUUUUGAAACAUUCAAAUGAUUCCAGGAGGUUGGCCUCUUG
Molecule: non-coding RNA, 133 nt
Organism: Caenorhabditis elegans
Lineage: Eukaryota; Metazoa; Nematoda; Chromadorea; Rhabditida; Rhabditidae
Source: Ensembl